RNAcentral lists this ribosomal RNA (440 nucleotides) under uncultured bacterium. RNAcentral's name for it is "partial 16S ribosomal RNA". It matches the Rfam family "Bacterial small subunit ribosomal RNA", at positions 338 to 795 of the family's 1533-position model. The record is from RNAcentral.
CCUACGGGAGGCAGCAGUGAGGAAUAUUGGGCAAUGGAGGCAACUCUGACCCAGCCAUGCCGCGUGAGUGAAGAAGGUUUUCGGAUUGUAAAGCCCUUUCGGAUGUGACGAUGAUGACGGUAGCAUCUAAAGAAGCCCCGGCUAACUUAGUGCCAGCAGCCGCGGUAAUACGAAGGGGGCAAGCGUUGUUCGGAAUUACUGGGCGUAAAGGGGGUGUAGGCGGUUUAGUAAGAUAGUGGUGAAAUCCCAGGGCUUAACUUUGGAAUUGCCAUUAUAACUAGUUUACUAGAAUUACAGAGAGGAUAGUGGAAUACCCAGUGUAGAGGUGAAAUUCGUAGAUAUUGGGUAGAACAUCGGUGGCGAAGGCGACUAUCUGGCGCAUAACUGACGCUGAUGAGCGAAAGCGUGGGUAGCGAACAGGAUUAGAUACCCUAGUAGUC